This 30-nucleotide non-coding RNA is filed under the name Rattus norvegicus (Norway rat). Lineage: Eukaryota; Metazoa; Chordata; Mammalia; Rodentia; Muridae. The record is from RNAcentral.
UAAGUUUGCGUCCGCACUUAUUGCCAGUUC